UACGUAUGGGGCAAGCGUUAUCCGGAUUUACUGGGUGUAAAGGGAGCGCAGGCGGCCUGGCAAGUCUGGUGUGAAAUACCGGGGCCCAACCCCGGGGCUGCAUUGGAAACUGCCAGGCUGGAGUGCCGGAGAGGCAGGCGGAAUUCCUAGUGUAGCGGUGAAAUGCGUAGAUAUUAGGAGGAACACCAGUGGCGAAGGCGGCCUGCUGGACGGUGACUGACGCUGAGGCUCGAAAGCGUG
Molecule: ribosomal RNA, 240 nt
Filed under: uncultured bacterium
Lineage: Bacteria
Description: partial 16S ribosomal RNA
Rfam family: Bacterial small subunit ribosomal RNA
Source: RNAcentral